Molecule: ribosomal RNA, 253 nt
Filed under: uncultured bacterium
Lineage: Bacteria
Description: partial 16S ribosomal RNA
Rfam family: Bacterial small subunit ribosomal RNA
Source: RNAcentral
UACGGAGGGUGCAAGCGUUGUUCGGAAUCACUGGGCGUAAAGCGCGUGUAGGCGGCCUCUUAAGUCUGGUGUGAAAGCCCGGGGCUCACCCCCGGAAGGGCACUGGAUACUGGGAGGCUAGAGUACCGGAGAGGAGGGUGGAAUUCCUGGUGUAGCGGUGAAAUGCGUAGAUAUCAGGAAGAACACCGGUGGCGAAGGCGGCCCCCUGGUCGGCUACCGACGCUGAGACGCGAAAGCGUGGGGAGCAAACAGG